ACGGUCUCCUGUGUGAAGCACUGCAGCACUCUCAGAAAGAGUCCAGGCUGGGCUCAGCUUCAUGCCCCGAGGUCAUGAGUCAUUCUGGAGAUGGCGGUUUGCAUGUGAAAGGAGCCGUGUGUAAUUUCGGAUUUCGUAGAAGGGAGUCAUCUCCCUUUUACCUCCUCGCCAAUUUCCUGCAUCGUGCCUCGGGCUGCAGCCUUCAGAGUCUGCCUUUCCCCAUCCCGUGCUGGAGUGACACAGCGAAAGAAGAGCUCUAUCAAACCCUUACCAAGUCCUACCAUGAAAUACAUGCUUCCAAACGCCUGUAGGAUAAUUCCCUUGGGAGGAAGAGCUCAGCUUCUCAUGUGCAGCAACGGUGCCAUCUACAGCCCGAGCGAGGCCACAACAACCUCACCGAGCCACUGGAAAGUUUUCAGCUGUUGCUUCUGCCACACGUCUGCUCUUCUAAAAUGCAGCUCUGCCUGAGGACGAAACUUUCAUAUGAUAUUUAAUACUGAUCUUUAGUAGGAUAUAUUUUAUACUUUACCCAUGGAGACAUUCAAUAUUUUCUACCUGUUGCACUGUCUUUAAGGUUCUUCAGUUAUGAACUGAACUCACUAAUAGCUAAAUUGGGUGUUUAGCAGAUGUAUCUAUGGAAACCAUGUGUUAGAGGCAAGAAGCAGAAGAACAUUACAUUUCUGCUGUCACACACACACAAAAGGCACUGCACUGAGUGUAUUUUACAGACUACCAGAAGUCACUGGACCUUUUUAUAAGCCAUAGUUUAGCUGUCAUCUGUACAAUAAAGACAUCUAUACUUGUUAUUUAAAGCAAAAAAACCCAACUCUCCCAGUGCAGCUGGCCCGUUACUGAGAAGCCUCACUUCCUAAGAAUUACAAGUCUGUAACAUCAAAGAAAAAAAAUAUUAAAGUGGAAACAUGUCAAUAAGCAGCCUGAGACAUAAAAUGUCAAUAUAUAAAGUCAACUCAGAAACAAAAUAUACACAUGCAAGCCUAAUGUAGGCAGUAGAGUGGGCAAGGUCUUUCCAAGGGUGCCUGAAAUAAGGACUGGAAAUGCAGUUUGUAAUCUGAUAAUCAGACUUGAUGGAAUAAAAAUUCUGAACCACAGGGCUGCUUCACUUCGUUGUCAAAAUUCAUUGCCUGGUUAUUCUAAUCUGUAUAAAAGAGAUAAGGUCACAAGGAACUCAAGGAGUUGCUUCAGGGAAAGCAAAAGGGAGAAAAAAAAAGGACAGACACUAAGUGAGAAAGCAAAACAAACCAAUGAGAGAAAAAAAAAAAAAAGGAGCAAGGCAAAAGGCAGAAGUCAAAACUCAACCUCCUACUAAACAAAGUUUAGUUGUUAGGAAAAGAGGGAUCUUAAGCAAAGGCAGCUGCAGAGUUCAGUGACACCACGAAGACAAAAAGUUCACAGGGAUGCCAACAAACAGAGCACAGAGCAGCCCUGAUACAAAUUGAGAACUAUAAUUCAGCCUCUUCCCACACACUCCUGUCAGCAGCUUUCUCACCCUGCACAGCCAAAUCUGGGCACUAUCUAAGGUGUCUGGGAAGGACACCUUAAAAAGUAAUUAAGAAUAAAAAUUUUUAAAAACCCUAAACAUGCUGAUCUUUUUCUUAUACAAGUAGAAAGAAUAUUUAAGGAUAUUUUUUUUCCCCCUCCAGUGUGAUGGAUCUCUAAGUCAGUGCACUUCUGCUUUAUUAAGUCAGUCAAGAAUUUAUUUGUCAACACUGGAAAAUACAGUUCAACCCUGACUAAUUUCUGCUUGAGCAAACUGUUGAAGCAGAAAAUGAAAUUAAAAGACUGCACCUGUCAUACCAUAGGAGAACUAUCCCUGAUCUUGCAACAGUUCUAUAUCCAUACAUUAGAAUACUUAUCAAGAUGGCAUAAAUGCAAAUAGCAAGGAUGUGUAUUUCAGUUGGGAAAAUGAAAUGGAUUUACAAAUCAGAUGCCAGAGCACUGAAAAAGCCUAAAAGCUUUCUCAUGACUUUCCAAGAUGAAACAAGAGAUUUGUGGAGACCAUGCCAUAAAUUUUAAAUCAUUUAAUUAAGGCUUUGCUCAGGAGCAUGGGGAAAGAUGGUAUAAGAUCAUAAAAUUUAAGAAAGCACGGAAAAGAUGAGAGAUAGAGAAAAAAAGGACCAUA
This is a long non-coding RNA of Poecile atricapillus (Black-capped chickadee), 2140 nucleotides long. RefSeq lists it as uncharacterized. The transcript is spliced from 3 exons. Lineage: Eukaryota; Metazoa; Chordata; Aves; Passeriformes; Paridae. The record is from RefSeq and is a predicted model, not a curated record.